This 1197-nucleotide ribosomal RNA is filed under the name metagenome. RNAcentral's name for it is "SSU rRNA". It matches the Rfam family "Eukaryotic small subunit ribosomal RNA", at positions 603 to 1823 of the family's 1831-position model. The record is from RNAcentral.
AUUAAAGUUGUUGCGGUUAAAAAGCUCGUAGUUGGAUCUCGGUUUCACUCAGGUGGUACACCUUGCGGUGUUCACUAUCUGGGUGGACGUUUCUGUUGGUUCGCUCUUGGUGCUCUUCAUCGGGUGCCAUUUGGUGGCCAGCACGUUUACUUUGAAAAAAUUGGAGUGCUCAAAGCAGGCGUUACAGCCUGAACAUUAGUGCAUGGAAUAAUGGAAUAGGAUCUCGAUUCUAUUUCGUUGGCUUUCGGAGUCGAGGUAAUGAUUAAUAGGGACAGACGGGGGCAUUCGUACUGCGACGUUAGAGGUGAAAUUCUUGGAUCGUCGCAAGACGAACUACUGCGAAAGCAUUUGCCAAGAAUGUUUUCAUUAAUCAAGAACGAAAGUUAGAGGUUCGAAGGCGAUCAGAUACCGCCCUAGUUCUAACCAUAAACGAUGCCAACCGGCGAUCCGUCGUCGUUAAUUGAAUGACUCGACGGGCAGCCUCCGGGAAACCAGAGUGUUUGGGUUCCGGGGGAAGUAUGGUUGCAAAGCUGAAACUUAAAGGAAUUGACGGAAGGGCGCCACCAGGAGUGGAGCCUGCGGCUUAAUUUGACCCAACACGGGAAAUCUCACCAGGCCCGGACACCGGAAGGAUUGACAGAUUGAGAGCUCUUUCUUGAUUCGGUGGGUGGUGGUGCAUGGCCGUUCUUAGUUGGUGGAGCGAUUUGUCUGGUUAAUUCCGAUAACGAACGAGACUCUGGCCUACUAACUAGAAGGUCUAUCCUUUAUGGGUAGGCCUCUGCUUCUUAGAGGGACGGGCGGCGUUUAGCCGCACGAGAAUGAGCAAUAACAGGUCUGUGAUGCCCUUAGAUGUUCUGGGCUGCACGCGCGCUACACUGAAGGAAUCAGCAUGUUCUCCCCUCCCUGAAAUGGGCGGGUAACCCGUUGAAACUCCUUCGUGAUGGGGAUUGGAGAUUGUAAUUAUUCUCCAUGAACGAGGAAUUCCCAGUAGGCGCGAGUCAUCAGCUUGCGUCGAUUACGUCCCUGCCCUUUGUACACACCGCCCGUCGCUACUACCGAUCGAGUGAUUUAGUGAGGACUUCGGACUGGUCUUCAAGUUGGCUUCGGUCGGCUCGAAGUUCCGGAAAGAUGCCCAAACUUGAUCACUUAGAGGAAGUAAAAGUCGUAACAAGGUUUCCGUAGGUGAACCUGCGGAAG